AGGAUCAUACUUCACGGGAUCAUUUCUGUAGUAUGUCUUCAUCUCUCUCUAGUUCAAAGCUGGAGUGGACGUAACGACAAUGAUGAGUGGUAGCACUUUCCCUGAGCAUGAGACAUCCGACCGAGAUUCAUUGCAUCUUGGCUUUAAUCGAUCGUUCACCACAUUCUUAGGGAUGUGGGAAGGGAACAGGACUUUCCGAGAGGU
Molecule: small nucleolar RNA, 204 nt
Organism: Schistocerca cancellata (South American locust)
Lineage: Eukaryota; Metazoa; Arthropoda; Insecta; Orthoptera; Acrididae
Product: small nucleolar RNA U3
Exons: 1
Source: RefSeq, a predicted model, not a curated record